Molecule: long non-coding RNA, 236 nt
Filed under: Gallus gallus (chicken)
Lineage: Eukaryota; Metazoa; Chordata; Aves; Galliformes; Phasianidae
Source: RNAcentral
GGGUUGUUGACCAUCGCACUGAAAUCUUCAGCCAGUGACCUCAGGGAGGAUUUCUUACAGCUGCGUGUCAGGAAUCUCCUCUCUUCAAGUGAAGGGACAAAACCAGUACAUGGAGUAUCACUGGAAGUCAGUUCUUUUCCUGACUGCUCUGCUGCAUGAGUAUGGCCAACAUCAAGGUUCCACUGAGUAAGGGUAAGUCCUUCCUUGGCAAGUUCAACUAGAUCCUGCAGGUUCUG